CAUGCAAGUCGAACGGUAACGCGAGGAGCUUGCUCCUUGGCGACGAGUGGCGGACGGGUGAGUAAUACUUAGGAAUCUGCCCAGUAGUGAGGGACAGCUCGAGGAAACUCGAGCUAAUACCGCAUACGCCCUACGGGGGAAAGCGAGGGAUCUUCGGACCUCGCGCUAUUGGAUGAGCCUAAGUCGGAUUAGCUUGUUGGUGGGGUAAAGGCCUACCAAGGCGACGAUCCGUAGCUGGUCUGAGAGGACGAUCAGCCACACUGGGACUGAGACACGGCCCAGACUCCUACGCAGCAGUGGGGAAUAUUGGACAAUGGGGGCAACCCUGAUCCAGCAAUGCCGCGUGUGUGAAGAAGGCCUGCGGGUUGUAAAGCACUUUCAGUAGAGAAGAAAAGCUUACGGUUAAUAGCUGUGAGUCUUGACGUAACCUACAGAAGAAGCACCGGCUAACUCCGUGCCAGCAGCCGCGGUAAUACGGAGGGGGCUAGCGUUGUUCGGAAUUACUGGGCGUAAAGGGCGCGUAGGCGGAUUGUCAAGUCAGAGGUGAAAGCCCUGGGCUCAACCUGGGAACUGCCUUUGAAACUAACGGUCUAGAGUCCGAGAGAGGAUGGCGGAAUUC
RNAcentral lists this ribosomal RNA (619 nucleotides) under uncultured bacterium. RNAcentral describes it as "bacterial SSU rRNA". It matches the Rfam family "Bacterial small subunit ribosomal RNA", at positions 54 to 669 of the family's 1533-position model. The record is from RNAcentral.